GGGUUCUCACUUUAGCCACACAUAUACUAAAACUGGGAUGAUACAGAUAAGAUUAGCAUAGCCCUUGGACAAGGAUGACAAAUAAAUUCUUGAAGCACUCCAUUAAAAA
RNAcentral lists this small nuclear RNA (109 nucleotides) under Theropithecus gelada (gelada). Lineage: Eukaryota; Metazoa; Chordata; Mammalia; Primates; Cercopithecidae. The record is from RNAcentral.